UACGUAGGGCGCAAGCGUUGUCCGGAAUUAUUGGGCGUAAAGAGCUCGUAGGCGGCUUGUCACGUCGGAUGUGAAAGCCCGGGGCUUAACCCCGGGUCUGCAUUCGAUACGGGCUAGCUAGAGUGUGGUAGGGGAGAUCGGAAUUCCUGGUGUAGAGGUGGAAUGCGCAGAUAUCAGGAGGAACACCGGUGGCGAAGGCGGGUCUCUGGGCAGUAACUGACGCUGAGGAGCGAAAGCGUGGGGAGCGAACAGG
RNAcentral lists this ribosomal RNA (253 nucleotides) under uncultured bacterium. Its description in RNAcentral is "partial 16S ribosomal RNA". It matches the Rfam family "Bacterial small subunit ribosomal RNA", at positions 524 to 776 of the family's 1533-position model. The record is from RNAcentral.